RNAcentral lists this ribosomal RNA (543 nucleotides) under Bifidobacterium breve. Its description in RNAcentral is "bacterial SSU rRNA". It matches the Rfam family "Bacterial small subunit ribosomal RNA", at positions 160 to 711 of the family's 1533-position model. Lineage: Bacteria; Bacillati; Actinomycetota; Actinomycetes; Bifidobacteriales; Bifidobacteriaceae. The record is from RNAcentral.
GUGGUAAUGCCGGAUGCUCCAGUUGAUCGCAUGGUCUUCUGGGAAAGCCUUUGCGGCAUGGGAUGGGGUCGCGUCCUAUCAGCUUGAUGGCGGGGUAACGGCCCACCAUGGCUUCGACGGGUAGCCGGCCUGAGAGGGCGACCGGCCACAUUGGGACUGAGAUACGGCCCAGACUCCUACGGGAGGCAGCAGUGGGGAAUAUUGCACAAUGGGCGCAAGCCUGAUGCAGCGACGCCGCGUGAGGGAUGGAGGCCUUCGGGUUGUAAACCUCUUUUGUUAGGGAGCAAGGCAUUUUGUGUUGAGUGUACCUUUCGAAUAAGCACCGGCUAACUACGUGCCAGCAGCCGCGGUAAUACGUAGGGUGCAAGCGUUAUCCGGAAUUAUUGGGCGUAAAGGGCUCGUAGGCGGUUCGUCGCGUCCGGUGUGAAAGUCCAUCGCUUAACGGUGGAUCCGCGCCGGGUACGGGCGGGCUUGAGUGCGGUAGGGGAGACUGGAAUUCCCGGUGUAACGGUGGAAUGUGUAGAUAUCGGAAAAAAAACACCA